GAUGAACGCUGGCGGCGUGCCUAAUACAUGCAAGUCGAGCGAACAGACGAGGAGCUUGCUCCUCUGACGUUAGCGGCGGACGGGUGAGUAACACGUGGAUAACCUACCUAUAAGACUGGGAUAACUUCGUGAAACCGGAGCUAAUACCGGAUAACAUGUUGAACCGCAUGGUUCAACAGUGAAAGACGGUCUUGCUGUCACUUAUAGAUGGAUCCGCUCCGCAUUAGCUAGUUGGUAAGGUAACGGCUUACCAAGGCAACGAUGCGUAGCCGACCUGAGAGGGUGAUAGGACACACUGGAAGUGAGACACGGAACAGACGACUACGGGAGGAAGCAGUAGGGAAUAUUACGCAAUGGGCGAAAGCAUGACGGAGCAAAGCCGAGUGAGUGAAGAAGGUCUUCGGAUCGUAAAACUCUGUUAUUAGGGAAGAACAAAUGUGUAAGUAACUAUGCACGUAUUGACGGUACCUAAUCAGAAAGCCACGGCUAACUACGUG
RNAcentral lists this ribosomal RNA (497 nucleotides) under uncultured bacterium. RNAcentral describes it as "partial 16S ribosomal RNA". It matches the Rfam family "Bacterial small subunit ribosomal RNA", at positions 28 to 507 of the family's 1533-position model. The record is from RNAcentral.